RNAcentral lists this long non-coding RNA (2700 nucleotides) under Panax ginseng (ginseng). RNAcentral describes it as "long non-coding RNA (PGIN_LNC006536)". Lineage: Eukaryota; Viridiplantae; Streptophyta; Magnoliopsida; Apiales; Araliaceae. The record is from RNAcentral.
UGUCGUGUAACAACAAGAGCACGUUUUUCAAAAAACUCCAAGUUUAUAUGAACUACUUAUUAAACUAAAGUCAGCAAUCAACAAAACUAUCCAAAUAUUAUACACUGAAAAAUCAUUGCAUGCAUUCGGUUUUUCAAUAUCUACGAUGCAACCAAUGUAGGCAAGCCUCAAAGCGUUCAUGCAAGAACAACAGAGAAUAACCUAAAGAAGAAUAUUACCAGUCUCUAAAGGUGAUUCUUAACAAAAUAUUACACCGAAAAUUGUGAGAUAAAUUCAAACGGAAGAUUCACAGAGACCAAAUUUGAAAUGAGGGAAACUGAAUCAAACCAAAACUAUAUAACUUAAAUACCUCUUAAAUUGAUUGAAUUGUUUGUACACAUGUGAGAUUUCACAUCAUAUGCUAUGCAUUGAAUCUAGAGGAAAACCUAAACCUAUUCCCAAUUCAUCAAACCCUCCAUGGAAAUACCGAGAAACACAAUGUGGGCAAGAAAAUUGUUCCUUACUAGUUAGGAUUUCAUGUUGGCUGAGGAGGAGAGAAAUCCACGAAGAGCACAGAAUUGAUUGAAGAUGGGAGAAGAACAGGUGGACGAUUACUCCAAUGACACGUGACAGAACUUCUAGAAUCCUAAAACCGUGUUAGGGUAGCAGGGAUUCCAAGAGCCUUCUGGAGUGCUUCGAGUUGAGAGAAUGUCCAAGUUUUUAGUGAUUUGAGAGAGAAUGUCCAAGUCCCAAGUCACCAAAAGAGUCACCCCCUUCCUAGAAUGGAAGGGGUAUUUAUAGAGUUUCCUGGAACUUAAGUGGUCACAUGUCAGGCACAUGUCUUCAAGGAAAUUCCAGAAAUACUCUUUUGGUCAUUAGAAUAAUGACCAUAUUGCCCUGUCCUUCUAGCCACCAAUCAAAUCCCUCAAUCAAUUCCCAAAACGAGCCACCUCCACGAGCCUUCUGCCUCGGGACACGUGGGGGCUUCUCCCGGGUCUAACACAUUUAUUUCUGACUUUUCCGUCUUCAUUCUAUUAGGUUAUGUGAACUCUAAUUUGCACAUUUAAUGAGGUCGUCGAACCAUAUUUGUGCAUUUAAUUCAAUUAGGUCAUAUGAACCCUAAUUUGCACUUGGGCCAACAUUUGCCCCCUGCGCGAGAGUAGUGUUUCCAAAGAGACGAUCGUGCAAGAAUAAUUCAAGCUUUUGAACGAUUUUGUUGGACUCCACCUACAGGUCUUGAAGACAAUGGCCCUGGUAGAGGGAACCCCUAGGGAGCCAAACCAUUAGGGUUAAACCCUAGGGAGUUUGUUGUUGAUUGUAUAUAGUGAUGUUGAACUUCCUUUUGAAGCGUCUUCAAUAAGUGGUUGGUCAAGAUCCAAGUUUGCGCCUUAGAAAGCUUGAGUUGCUUGCCUUGGAACUGGAUCCGGUGAGGUAAUGCUAUUUGUUGGUGAAGCAGCUCUUCCUGUAGUUCUCCCACUUCGAGUUGUGGACAUACAUUUCACGAAUUCUACACCUCCCCAGCACAGUCGCCAAAGAAAUGUGGGCAAGGAAAUCGUGUCUUGCUAGUUAGGGUUUCGUGUUGGCUGAGGAGAAGAGAAAUCCACGAAGAGUACGGAAUUGAUUGAUUGAAGAGGGGAGAAGAACAGGUGGACAAUUACUCCAAUAACACGUGACAGAACUCCUAGAAUCCGGAAACCGUGUUAGGGUAGCAGGGAUUCCAAGAGUCUUCUUAAGUGCUUCGAGUUGAGAGAAUGUGUAAGUCUUGAGUGAUUUGAGAGAGAAUGUCCAAGUCCCAAGUCACCAAAAGAGUCCCCCUUCCUAGAAUGGAAGGGGUAUUUAUAGAGUUUUUUGGAACUUAAGUAGUCACAUGUCUUCAGAAAAAUUCCAGAAAUACCCUUUUAGUCAUUAGAAUAAUGACCAUAUCACCCUGUCCUUCUAGCCACCAAUCCAAUCCCUCAAUCAAUUUCUAAAAUGAGCCACGUCCAUGAGUCUUUUGCCUCGGGACGCGUGGAAGCUUCUCCCGGAUCUAGCACAUUUAUUUCUGACUUUUCCGUCUUCAUUCCAUUAGGUUAUGUGAACCCUAAUUUGCACAUUUAAUGAGGUAGUGGAACCCUAAUUGUACAUUUAAUUCAAUUAGGUCAUGUGAACUCUAAUUUGCACCGGGUCCACACACAAUAAUUUCAAGGUAAUUGUUAAAUCUACAACACUUUUUGUUAUUUUCACAACAAAAGUGUCGCUAUAGAUGUAUACGUCGCUAUAGGAUCUAUAACAACACUUUUGUUGUGGAAAUAACAAUUUCUGUUGUGGAUUUAACGAUUCCCAAAAUUCAAAGACCAACCAAGCUGUACAAUCACAUUCAAAGACCAUACAUAAGAAAAAUUCAAAAAAUCUAACCUUUUCCACUGCAUUUGCCGCAUGAGAUAAACGGUUUCCGUAUCUGCAGAAUUAGGGUUGAAAGCUGGGUAUAUUUGGCUCAAGAUAGAGAAAAUCUCGGUAUAAAACUAAAAGGGGCCACUUUGGGUUUUAUCACACCUCACAGGAGUAUAUACUAUAUACAACCACAUAAGAUCAGAAGUUUUGGAAUUAGAGAAACCGAAUUUCGGUUGAAUGCACAACAGAUGGAAUUAACAUGAAAGCCAGCUCACUUUCUCUCUCUUCUCUACCUCCAUGUGAAUAUAUAUGACACAAUAAUAUUUUUCAUCUUUUCAAAUUCAAAUUGCC